Transfer RNA from Hydrocarboniphaga effusa AP103, 72 nucleotides. It matches the Rfam family "tRNA". Rfam says of the family: Transfer RNA (tRNA) molecules are approximately 80 nucleotides in length. Their secondary structure includes four short double-helical elements and three loops (D, anti-codon, and T loops). NCBI's taxonomy places the organism in Bacteria, Pseudomonadati, Pseudomonadota, Gammaproteobacteria, Nevskiales, Nevskiaceae. The record is from Rfam.
GGAUGGUUAGCUCAGCGGUAGAGCAUCGCCUUCACACGGCGGGGGCCACAGGUUCGAUCCCUGUACCAUCCA